UUUCCAUUCCCUUUGGUGGUUUCUGAUAUUGAACAAUUUGGAACUCUCUUGUUAUGACUCCAUGAUCUCUUGGGAAUUUGAAGGGUCCUCCGACUCAUCAGGUGACACAAUUAUGCCUGUAUGUGUUGAUUUGAUUGAUGUACAAAUCUUCAAUAAAAACUUUUUCUUGACUCGGAAGGAAGGAGAGAAGGAACAAACAAACAAAAGAAGAAAAGGAAGGAAGAAAGGAAGAAAGAAAAGACAAGAAAGGAAGAAUCCAUUAGGAUGGAUUGGAUUUCAGGGUUUUGUUUGGGAGUUUUUUAUCUUUUAAAGAAUUAUGAACUUGACAAAUAUUAAUAAACACAAUCAUUUCCAUGUAAAAA
Gracilinanus agilis (Agile Gracile Mouse Opossum) is the source of this 362-nucleotide long non-coding RNA. RefSeq lists it as uncharacterized. NCBI's taxonomy places the organism in Eukaryota, Metazoa, Chordata, Mammalia, Didelphimorphia, Didelphidae. The transcript is spliced from 3 exons. The record is from RefSeq and is a predicted model, not a curated record.